This 1357-nucleotide ribosomal RNA is filed under the name metagenome. Its description in RNAcentral is "bacterial LSU rRNA". It matches the Rfam family "Bacterial large subunit ribosomal RNA", at positions 1541 to 2925 of the family's 2925-position model. The record is from RNAcentral.
CCCGGGCGAUGGUUGCCCCGGUCGUAAGGGACUGCAAAUGAGCGGGAAGUGAAUUUGGAAGAAGGCGAGAAAAGCUGUGUGAAUAGAAGAUAGAGCCCGUACCGCAAACCGACACAGGUAGAUAGGAAGAAGAUUCUAAGGCCAACGGGAGAAGGGUUGUUAAGGAACUCGGCAAGUUGACCCCGUAACUUAGGGAGAAGGGGUGCUCUUUAAGGAGAGCCGCAGAGAAUAGGCCCAAGCGACUGUUUAGCAAAAACACAGCUCUAUGCUAAAUCGAAAGAUGACGUAUAUGGGGUGACACCUGCCCGGUGCCGGAAGGUUAAGAGGAGGAGUGAGAGCUCUGAAUUGAAGCCCCGGUAAACGGCGGCCGUAACGAUAACGGUCCUAAGGUAGCGAAAUUCCUUGUCAGGUAAGUUCUGACCCGCACGAAUGGUGUAACGAUUUGGGCACUGUCUCAACAACCUGCCCGGCGAAAUUGUAGUACCGGUGAAGAUGCCGGUUACCCGCGACUAGACGGAAAGACCCCAUGGAGCUUUACUGCAGCUUAAUAUUGAAUUUCGGUAUUUCAUGUACAGGAUAGGUGGGAGACAGGGAACCAUAGGCGUCAGCUUAUGGGGAGUCGACCUUGGGAUACCACUCUUGAGGUGCUGGAAUUCUAACCUGUGGCUCUGAAUCGAGUCAGGGGACAUUGUUAGGCGGGCAGUCUGACUGGGGCGGUCGCCUCCAAAAGGUAACGGAGGCGCUCAAAGGUUCGCUCAGCAUGGAUGGAAACCAUGCUUUUGAGUGUAAGCGCAAAAGCGAGCCUAACUGCGAGACUGACGGGUCGAGCAGUAACGAAAGUUGGAGUUAGUGAUCCGGCGGUAUGUGAGUGGAAAUGCCGUCGCUCAACGGAUAAAAGCUACCCUGGGGAUAACAGGCUGAUCUCCCCCAAGAGUCCACAUCGACGGGGAGGUUUGGCACCUCGAUGUCGGCUCAUCGCAUCCUGGGGCUGAAUUCGGUCCCAAGGGUUUGGCUGUUCGCCAAUUAAAGCGGUACGCGAGCUGGGUUCAGAACGUCGUGAGACAGUUCGGUCCCUAUCUGUCGUGGGCGUAGGAUAUUUGAAAGGAGCUGUCCCUAGUACGAGAGGACCGGGAUGGACGCACCGCUGGUGCACCAGUUGUCAUGCCAAUGGCACAGCUGGGCAGCUAUGUGCGGAACGGAUAAACGCUGAAGGCAUCUAAGCGUGAAGCCGACCUUAAGAUAAGAUAUCCCUUCGUAAGAGUAAGACCUCUCAUAGACUAUGAGUUUGAUAGGCCUAAGGUGUAAGCACAGUGAUGUGUUCAGCCUGCAGGUACUAAUCGGUCGAGGGCUUUUCUAA